Stomoxys calcitrans (stable fly) is the source of this 289-nucleotide long non-coding RNA. RefSeq lists it as uncharacterized. The transcript has 2 exons. NCBI's taxonomy places the organism in Eukaryota, Metazoa, Arthropoda, Insecta, Diptera, Muscidae. The record is from RefSeq and is a predicted model, not a curated record.
UAACUGCAGUAACAUCAAAGUUAAAAUGCAUUUCUUUGCUCUCUUUUUGGUACUUUUCACUGUCAUGGCUUUGACAGUCAGUCAGGCAAUUUCGGAAGGAGAAACACCGAAUUCGUUCCAAGAAGAUCCAGAAACACCUUUAGAAGGAUCGGUCGAUCCGGCUUUGGGUUUUUCCAUAUGGUGGGGCUAAAUUCAUACCCUCGGCAAAAAGUGAGGAUUUUUGAGAAAUUUCAAAAAUACAUGGCAAUGAAUUAAAUAAAAAUUAACCUAAUUUCGCAGCAAUUAAAAA